CCUACGGGAGGCAGCAGUGGGGAAUAUUGGGCAAUGGGCGAAAGCCUGACCCAGCAACGCCGCGUGAAGGAUGAAGGCCUUCGGGUCGUAAACUUCUUUUAAGAGGGAAGAGCAGAAGACGGUAUCACUUGAAUAAGCCACGCCUAACUACGUGCCAGCAGCCGCGGUAAUACGUAGGUGGCAAGCGUUGUCCGGAUUUACUGGGUGGAAAGGGCGUGCAGCCGGGAAGACAAGUCAGAUGUGAAAUCCCGCGGCUCAACCGCGGAACUGCAUUUGAAACUGUUUUUCUUGAGUACCGGAGAGGUCAGCGGAAUUCCUUGUGUAGCGGUGAAAUGCGUAGAUAUAAGAAAGAACACCAGUGGCGAAGGCGGAUGUCUGGACGGCAACUGACGGUGAGGCGCGAAAGCGUGGGGAGCAAACAGGAUUAGAUACCCGGGUAGUC
This 442-nucleotide ribosomal RNA is filed under the name uncultured bacterium. RNAcentral describes it as "partial 16S ribosomal RNA". It matches the Rfam family "Bacterial small subunit ribosomal RNA", at positions 338 to 795 of the family's 1533-position model. The record is from RNAcentral.